GGUUCUUAGAGUGCUGCACCACGGGUAAAAGUGCAAACGCAGGAGCAGCUCUGAGGUUUACUAAGCCAGGAAGUCUGGGGAGAGGACCAUAAGUCUGCGUUCCAGCAGAGCUCCACGCUGGAACACCUGCCAGCUUCGAGACCUGCAGGGCAGUGUGGACCUCCCUACCCGGCUCCGGAAGUUUGCAUCUUCAGGAAGAGGCCUCAGGCAGAAGACCAAGGACAUGAGUCGCAUCCACAGACUGUGUAUAACCCGGUCACCACAGAGCUUCCCUCAAACCCACAGGCUCUCCAACGAUUACCCGGCAGCUGAGCCCCGCAAAAUCAACAAGCCAUCCAAAGGUUUUGAAAGCUUUGGUCCCAGCAGUACAGCGGUUUGGCAGUUUGGCAUCUCCCUGUGCUUUCAUGGGAAGCCUCUGCAGCCCAAGUCAUGGAAAUUGUUUGCAUCCCUGAGCCUUGCUGAGCAAGAAAGUGGCAGAGGGCUGCCCCGAGGGCUGCUGGGAAGAGGCCCCGACUCAGGAGGCCCAGCUGCCACUCCUGACCAGGCCAACGGUGAGCGCUCACAGGGUGCAUCUCAACGACCAAGCGCCUGGCCUGGCACACUCCUAAAGUUAGCUUCCACAGGGAAAUCUUGUACUGAUUCACCCAGAUGCCAUUUUCCAGACAGGGCUUCCCUGGCGUGUGUCCCAGCCCCAGGGCCUGGAGGGUGGACGCUGAAAUUCCCAUCAGUGGCUCCGUGCCUGGUCCUCCGCUCCAGGGCACUGUGCUGCCAGGUGCCGGGGCACAAACCUCAUCUUGCCUGCUCUUUCUGAGCCCCAUUUCCUACACCAG
Molecule: long non-coding RNA, 830 nt
Filed under: Fukomys damarensis (Damara mole-rat)
Lineage: Eukaryota; Metazoa; Chordata; Mammalia; Rodentia; Bathyergidae
Description: lncRNA (ENSFDAG00000030867.1)
Source: RNAcentral